Molecule: ribosomal RNA, 406 nt
Filed under: uncultured bacterium
Lineage: Bacteria
Description: bacterial SSU rRNA
Rfam family: Bacterial small subunit ribosomal RNA
Source: RNAcentral
AUUCCGCAAUGGACGGAAGUCUGACGGAGCGACGCCGAGUGGAUGACGAAGGCCGAAAGGGUGUAAAGUUCUUUUGCUGGGGAAGACUAACCGCAGGAGGGAAUGCCUGUGGGAUGACAAGAACCGGCGAAUAAGCCCCGGCCAACUACGUGCCAGCAGCCGCGGUAACACGUAGGGGGCGAGCGGUGUUCGGAAGUACUGGGCGUAAAGGGCAUGUAGGCGGCUUGGAAAGCCUGGCGUGAAAGUCUGCAGCUUAACUGCAGGGGUGCGCUGGGAACUGCUGAGCUUGAGUGAAGGAGAGGGAGCUGGAAUUCCUGGUGUAGGGGUGAAAUCUGUAGAUAUCAGGAAGAACACCGAUGGCGAAGGCAAGCUCCUGGCCGAUGACUGACGCUGGGGUGCGAAAGUG